UCAGGUAGGAUUACCCGCUGAACUUAAGCAUAUCAAUAAGCGGAGGAAAAGAAACUAACAAGGAUUCCCCUAGUAACUCGAGUGAAGCGGGAAAAGCUCAAAUUUAAAAUCUGGCGGUCUUCGGCCGUCCGAGUUGUAGUCUGGAGAAGUGCUUUCCGCGCUGGACCGUGUACAAGUCUCUUGGAACAGAGCGUCAUAGAGGGUGAGAAUCCCGUUCUUUGACACGGACUACCAGUGCUUUGUGAUGCGCUCUCAAAGAGUCGAGUUGUUUGGGAAUGCAGCUCAAACACAUGGAGAUGAGUAAAUGACGCAUUC
This 315-nucleotide ribosomal RNA is filed under the name Fomitopsis sp. CLF-T. RNAcentral describes it as "eukaryotic LSU rRNA". It matches the Rfam family "Eukaryotic large subunit ribosomal RNA", at positions 11 to 311 of the family's 3401-position model. Lineage: Eukaryota; Fungi; Basidiomycota; Agaricomycetes; Polyporales; Fomitopsidaceae. The record is from RNAcentral.